CUCAGGACGAACGCUGGCGGCGUGCCUAAUACAUGCAAGUCGAGCGAGCGGAACUAACAGAUUUACUUCGGUAAUGACGUUAGGAAAGCGAGCGGCGGAUGGGUGAGUAACACGUGGGGAACCUGCCCCAUAGUCUGGGAUACCACUUGGAAACAGGUGCUAAUACCGGAUAAGAAAGCAGAUCGCAUGAUCAGCUUUUAAAAGGCGGCGUAAGCUGUCGCUAUGGGAUGGCCCCGCGGUGCAUUAGCUAGUUGGUAAGGUAAAGGCUUACCAAGGCGAUGAUGCAUAGCCGAGUUGAGAGACUGAUCGGCCACAUUGGGACUGAGACACGGCCCAAACUCCUACGGGAGGCAGCAGUAGGGAAUCUUCCACAAUGGACGCAAGUCUGAUGGAGCAACGCCGCGUGAGUGAAGAAGGUUUUCGGAUCGUAAAGCUCUGUUGUUGGUGAAGAAGGAUAGAGGUAGUAACUGGCCUUUAUUUGACGGUAAUCAACCAGAAAGUCACGGCUAACUACGUGCCAGCAGCCGCGGUAAUACGUAGGUGGCAAGCGUUGUCCGNAUUUAUUGGGCGUAAAGCGAGCGCAGGCGGAAGAAUAAGUCUGAUGUGAAAGCCCUCGGCUUAACCGAGGAACUGCAUCGGAAACUGUUUUUCUUGAGUGCAGAA
RNAcentral lists this ribosomal RNA (663 nucleotides) under Lactobacillus gasseri. Its description in RNAcentral is "bacterial SSU rRNA". It matches the Rfam family "Bacterial small subunit ribosomal RNA", at positions 23 to 653 of the family's 1533-position model. The record is from RNAcentral. Lineage: Bacteria; Bacillati; Bacillota; Bacilli; Lactobacillales; Lactobacillaceae.